Molecule: ribosomal RNA, 253 nt
Filed under: uncultured bacterium
Lineage: Bacteria
Description: partial 16S ribosomal RNA
Rfam family: Bacterial small subunit ribosomal RNA
Source: RNAcentral
UACGUAGGGAGCAAGCGUUGUUCGGAAUUACUGGGCGUAAAGGGCUCGUAGGCGGCCAACUAAGUCAGACGUGAAAUCCCUCGGCUUAACCGGGAGGGUGGCAUUGAUACUGAUGGGCUUGAGUAAAGUUGAGGUAGGCGGAAUUGACGGUGUAGCGGUGAAAUGCUUAGAUAUCGUCAAGAACACCGAUUGCGAAGGCAGCUUACUAAGCUUUAACUGACACUGAGGCACGAAAGUGUGGGGAUCAAACAGG